RNAcentral lists this ribosomal RNA (470 nucleotides) under uncultured bacterium. Its description in RNAcentral is "bacterial SSU rRNA". It matches the Rfam family "Bacterial small subunit ribosomal RNA", at positions 328 to 795 of the family's 1533-position model. The record is from RNAcentral.
GAACCAGACUCCUACGGGAGGCAGCAGUGAGGAAUAUUGGUCAAUGGGCGGGAGCCUGAACCAGCCAAGCCGCGUGAGGGAAGAAGGUACAGCGUAUCGUAAACCUCUUUUGUCAGGGAACAAAGGCGGGGACUAGUCCCCGGAUGAGGGUACCUGAAGAAAAAGCAUCGGCUAACUACGUGCCAGCAGCCGCGGUAAUACGUAGGGGGCAAGCGUUAUCCGGAUUUACUGGGUGUAAAGGGAGCGUAGACGGCAAUGCAAGUCUGGAGUGAAAGCCCAAGGCCCAACCAUGGGACUGCUCUGGAAACUGUGUAGCUUGAGUGCAGGAGGGGUAAGCGGAAUUCCUAGUGUAGCGGUGAAAUGCGUAGAUAUUAGGAGGAACACCGGUGGCGAAGGCGGCGUACUGGACUGCAACUGACGUUGAGGCUCGAAGGCGUGGGGAGCAAACAGGAUUAGAUACCCGAGUAACU